Molecule: ribosomal RNA, 253 nt
Filed under: uncultured bacterium
Lineage: Bacteria
Description: partial 16S ribosomal RNA
Rfam family: Bacterial small subunit ribosomal RNA
Source: RNAcentral
UACGAAGGGGGCUAGCGUUGCUCGGAAUUACUGGGCGUAAAGGGCGCGUAGGCGGACAUUUAAGUCGGGGGUGAAAGCCCAGGGCUCAACCCUGGAAUAGCCUUCGAUACUGGAUGUCUUGAGUUCGGGAGAGGUGAGUGGAAUUCCUGGUGUAGCGGUGAAAUGCGCAGAUAUCAGGAGGAACACCGGUGGCGAAGGCGGGUCUCUGGGCCGUAACUGACGCUGAGGCGCGAAAGCGUGGGGAGCGAUCCGG